CAUGCAGGAGACGAAGGCCCUCAUCUCGCGAUGACGGGGGAGUCUUGGGGUUGUUCUCGAGCGGCGGCCCCAGUGUGCGCUUUCUCACGAGGUACGACGGCGAGGGUGGAGUUCGAAGAGGUGUCCGGGCAUCGGGUUCUUAUCAAGAGGGGACCGGGAAAUCGGGGUCCUUCGGAAUGUGGAACCACCCACGAGGCCACGUCUGGAAUGUCGUCGUGAGACCGGCCUCAUCCUGAGGUGCGACCGGAAGGUCGGGAACCCCUUCCAGACAAAGCAGGGGAGUCGACCCUCCUGUCCAGAUCAGGAGGGUAGAAGGGGCUCAGAGGAAGUGGUGCGGGAAAACCUCGGUGUUCCUCUUGAGGGAGACCGGGAUGUCGGGGCACUUUGUGGGUCGCAUCAAGGGUGCCAAGUACCGUUUCGACCUCCAAUACCUAACGUGGGACUUCUCCUGAGACACUGUAGCGGGAAAGGGCUUCAUCUUGCGAUGACGGGGGAACCACGUGGAUUUUCUCGAGUUGCAGCGGGAUUCUCGAGUUACGACGGGGAAUUCAGGAUGCCUCUUGUGUUGGCCCAGGGAAGUCCAAUCUUCCAUUCGAGUUGCGAAGGAAAGCUGGGGAUUGCUCUCGAGUGACUGCAGGGCCAAUAGACCUCAUCUAGGCUUGUGUCCAGAAGCCAAUGUUCCUCUCCAGGGGCGAAAGGGAUCUCGGGGUUGCAUUCCAGACGCACCCGGGGAGACAGGCAUCCAUCUCGAGUGGAAGCAAAGAACCCCGCUCUGCUCUCGAGUCGCGACGGGUAUCUCUUGGAGCUCACUGGGUGGACUAAAGGGAGUCAAGCCUCCUGAGGCGUUUGGAGAGAG
Bos taurus (domestic cattle) is the source of this 856-nucleotide long non-coding RNA. NCBI's taxonomy places the organism in Eukaryota, Metazoa, Chordata, Mammalia, Artiodactyla, Bovidae. The record is from Ensembl.